GAUGAACGCUAGCGGCAGGCCUAACACAUGCAAGUCGAGGGGUAGAAUUAGCUUGCUAAUUUGAGACCGGCGCACGGGUGCGUAACGCGUAUGCAAUCUACCUUGUACAGGGGGAUAGCCCAGAGAAAUUUGGAUUAAUACUCCAUGGUAUAAUUGAAUCGCAUGGUUUGAUUAUUAAAGUUCCAACGGUACAAGAUGAGCAUGCGUCCCAUUAGCUAGUUGGUGUGGUAACGGCAUACCAAGGCGACGAUGGGUAGGGGUCCUGAGAGGGAGAUCCCCCACACUGGUACUGAGACACGGACCAGACUCCUACGGGAGGCAGCAGUGAGGAAUAUUGGUCAAUGGUCGGAAGACUGAACCAGCCAUGCCGCGUGCAGGAAGACGGUCCUAUGGAUUGUAAACUGCUUUUGUACGGGAAGAAACACUCCUUCGUGAAGGAGCUUGACGGUACCGUAAGAAUAAGGAUCGGCUAACUCCGUGCCAGCAGCCGCGGUAAACU
RNAcentral lists this ribosomal RNA (499 nucleotides) under uncultured bacterium. Its description in RNAcentral is "bacterial SSU rRNA". It matches the Rfam family "Bacterial small subunit ribosomal RNA", at positions 28 to 526 of the family's 1533-position model. The record is from RNAcentral.